This 252-nucleotide ribosomal RNA is filed under the name uncultured bacterium. Its description in RNAcentral is "partial 16S ribosomal RNA". It matches the Rfam family "Bacterial small subunit ribosomal RNA", at positions 524 to 776 of the family's 1533-position model. The record is from RNAcentral.
UACGUAGGUCCCGAGCGUUGUCCGGAUUUAUUGGGCGUAAAGCGAGCGCAGGUGGUUUAUUAAGUCUGGUGUAAAAGGCAGUGGCUCAACCAUUGUAUGCGUUGGAAACUGGUAGACUUGAGUGCAGGAGAGGAGAGUGGGAUUCCAUGUGUAGCGGUGAAAUGCGUAGAUAUAUGGAGGAACACCGGUGGCGAAAGCGGCCCUCUGGCCUGUAACUGACACUGAGGCUCGAAAGCGUGGGGAGCAAACAGG